This 494-nucleotide ribosomal RNA is filed under the name uncultured bacterium. RNAcentral describes it as "partial 16S ribosomal RNA". It matches the Rfam family "Bacterial small subunit ribosomal RNA", at positions 28 to 507 of the family's 1533-position model. The record is from RNAcentral.
GACGAACGCUGGCGGCGUGCUUAACACAUGCAAGUCGAACGGAAAGGCCUGCUUUCCCUUGUGGAUUGCGGGUACUCGAGUGGCGAACGGGUGAGUAACACGUGAGUGAUCUGCCCCCAACUUGGGUAUAAGCCUGGGAAACUGGGUCUAAUUCCCGAUAGGACUGCAGGGUAGUGCCUGUGGUGGAAAACGAUUUUCUAGUGGUUGGGGAUGAGCUCGCGGCCUAUCAGCUUGUUGGUGGGGUAAUGGCCUACCAAGGCGGCGACGGGUAGCCGGCCUGGGAGGGUGGACGGCCACAUUGGGACUGAGAUACGGCCCAGACUCCUACGGGAGGCAGCAGUGGGGAAUAUUGCACAAUGGGCGGAAGCCUGAUGCAGCGACGCCGCGUGGGGGAUGACGGCCUUCGGGUUGUAAACUCCUUUCGACCGCGAGGAAGCCACCUGGUUGGAAGGGUGGUGACGGUAGUGGUAGAAGAAGCACCGGCUAACUACGUG